This 243-nucleotide ribosomal RNA is filed under the name uncultured bacterium. Its description in RNAcentral is "partial 16S ribosomal RNA". The record is from RNAcentral.
CUGCUGCCUCCCGUAGGAGUCUGGGCCGUAUCUCAGUCCCAAUGUGGCCGAUCAACCUCUCAGUCCGGCUACCGAUCGUCGCCUUGGUGGGCCGUUGCCCCACCAACUAGCUAAUCGGCCGCGAGCCCAUCUUCCAGCGGAUUGCUCCUUUGGCUGCAUCGGGAUGCCCCAUCGCAGCGUUAUGCGGUAUUAGCAGUCGUUUCCAACUGUUAUCCCCCUNUGAAAGGCAGGUUGCUCACGUUG